This 216-nucleotide ribosomal RNA is filed under the name Triticum aestivum (bread wheat). RNAcentral's name for it is "partial small subunit ribosomal RNA". Lineage: Eukaryota; Viridiplantae; Streptophyta; Magnoliopsida; Poales; Poaceae. The record is from RNAcentral.
AUGUUGGGGGCGAGCACAUGCUGCAGCGCACGGUGCUCCAGUUCUUUCAUUCAGUCAAGUUCUUUCAUUCAGUCAUGUUCUUUCAUUCAGUCAAAUUCAGUCAAAUUUUCUGAAGCUAGCAUCCUUUUUUACUACGUACAUCCUUUUUUUGUUUUCAGCAACUAUAGGUGCUACUACAUCUCUCUUUUUUUUGCAGGGACCAGGGCCAGGAAUUAA